Molecule: unclassified non-coding RNA, 392 nt
Filed under: soil metagenome
Description: partial contains 5.8S ribosomal RNA, internal transcribed spacer 2, and large subunit ribosomal RNA
Rfam family: 5.8S ribosomal RNA (bases 5-123)
Source: RNAcentral
GAUGGAAGAACGCAGCGAAAUGCGAUACUUGGUGUGAAUUGCAGAAUCCCGUGAACCAUCGAGUCUUUGAACGCAAGUUGCGCCCGAAGCCAUUAGGCCGAGGGCACGCCUGCCUGGGCGUCACACGUCGUUGCCCCCCCAUCUACUCCUUCGGGAUUGCGGGGGGCGGAUGAUGGCCUCUCGUGCGCCUCGUCGCGCGGUUGGCCUAAAUGCCAAGUCCUCGGCGACGCACGCCACGACAAUCGGUGGUUGCGAAACCUCGGUUGCCUGUCGUGUGCGGUCGUCGCGCAUCGAGGGCUCGAAAAAAUUGCCGGGCUUCGGCUCGACUUUCAACGCGACCCCAGGUCAGGCGGGGUUACCCGCUGAAUUUAAGCAUAUCAAUAAGCGGAGGA